UACAUGGGGUGCAAACGUUGCUCGGAAUUAUUGGGCGUAAAGAGCUCGUAGGCGGUCUGUUGCGUCGGCUGUGAAAACCCGGGGCUCAACCCCGGGCCUGCAGCCGAUACGGGCAGACUAGAGUUCGGCAGGGGAGACUGGAAUUCCUGGUGUAGCGGUGAAAUGCGCAGAUAUCAGGAGGAACACCGGUGGCGAAGGCGGGUCUCUGGGCCGAUACUGACGCUGAGGAGCGAAAGCGUGGGGAGCAAACAGG
Molecule: ribosomal RNA, 253 nt
Filed under: uncultured bacterium
Lineage: Bacteria
Description: partial 16S ribosomal RNA
Rfam family: Bacterial small subunit ribosomal RNA
Source: RNAcentral